GGCCUUGUAGCUCAGCUGGGAGAGCAUGCGCUGUACAAAACCGCAGGCGGCGUCCAUGUGUGGGUUCAAAUCCCACCGAAGCUA
Molecule: transfer RNA, 84 nt
Filed under: Echinostoma caproni
Lineage: Eukaryota; Metazoa; Platyhelminthes; Trematoda; Plagiorchiida; Echinostomatidae
Rfam family: tRNA
About the family: Transfer RNA (tRNA) molecules are approximately 80 nucleotides in length.
Source: Rfam by way of RNAcentral